Molecule: transfer RNA, 67 nt
Filed under: Scaptodera rhadamistus
Lineage: Eukaryota; Metazoa; Arthropoda; Insecta; Coleoptera; Scarabaeidae
Description: tRNA-Pro
Source: RNAcentral
CAGAGAAUAGUUUAAUUAAAAUUUUAAUUUUGGAGAUUAAAGAUAGAUAGAUAAUAUUUUUCUCUGA